UACGUAGGGUGCAAGCGUUGUCCGGAAUUAUUGGGCGUAAAGAGCUCGUAGGCGGUUUGUCGCGUCUGCUGUGAAAAUCCAGGGCUUAACCCUGGACCUGCAGUGGGUACGGGCAGACUAGAGUUCGGUAGGGGAGAUCGGAAUUCCUGGUGUAGCGGUGAAAUGCGCAGAUAUCAGGAGGAACACCGGUGGCGAAGGCGGAUCUCUGGGCCGUAACUGACGCUGAGGAGCGAAAGCAUGGGGAGCGAACAGG
This 253-nucleotide ribosomal RNA is filed under the name uncultured bacterium. Its description in RNAcentral is "partial 16S ribosomal RNA". It matches the Rfam family "Bacterial small subunit ribosomal RNA", at positions 524 to 776 of the family's 1533-position model. The record is from RNAcentral.